GACGAACGCUGGCGGCGUGCCUAAUACAUGCAAGUCGAACGAGAGCGACCGGUGCUUGCACUGGUCAAUCUAGUGGCGAACGGGUGAGUAGCACGUGGGUAAUCUGCCCAUCAGAGGGGGAUAACAUCCGGAAACGGAUGCUAAAACCGCAUAGGUCUUCGAACCGCAUGGUUUGAAGAGGAAAAGAGGCGCAAGCUUCUGCUGAUGGAUGGACCCGCGGUGCAUUAGCUAGUUGGUGAGGUAACGGCUCACCAAGGCCGUGACGCAUAGCCGACCUGAGAGGGUGAUCGGCCACAUUGGGACUGAGACACGGCCCAAACUCCUACGGGAGGCAGCAGUAGGGAAUCUUCCGCAAUGGACGCAAGUCUGACGGAGCAACGCCGCGUGAGUGAAGAAGGUUUUCGGAUCGUAAAACUCUGUUGUUAGAGAAGAACAAGUGCUAGAGUAACUGUUAGCGCCUUGACGGUAUCUAACCAGAAAGCCACGGCUAACUACGUG
RNAcentral lists this ribosomal RNA (498 nucleotides) under uncultured bacterium. Its description in RNAcentral is "partial 16S ribosomal RNA". It matches the Rfam family "Bacterial small subunit ribosomal RNA", at positions 28 to 507 of the family's 1533-position model. The record is from RNAcentral.